This 486-nucleotide long non-coding RNA is filed under the name Fukomys damarensis (Damara mole-rat). RNAcentral describes it as "lncRNA (ENSFDAG00000030655.1)". The record is from RNAcentral. Lineage: Eukaryota; Metazoa; Chordata; Mammalia; Rodentia; Bathyergidae.
GGCAUUCCUGUGUAAGGAGCUCUGUGGAUGCUUGACUCCUUCAUAUACAAUGGCCUAGUGCUUGCUGAGAUUCCUUACAGGAACAGGCUCACAUAAUCAUGGAGCCACAAGCCCCCCAAUCUGCUGUAAGACCAGGAAGUCCAGUGGUAUAAGGCCCAAUGGGAGGGGGAACCUGGAGGGGAGACAGUGAAAUUCCUUCCUCCUCAUCCCAGUCCCAAGGCCCAGAACCAGCAGUACCGGGUCCAAAGGCAGGCCGUGACGGACACCUCAGCUCACACAGAAGAAGCCCUCACCUGCCCUGUUUUCUAGCCAUGCUCUCAAAGGUCCAGAUGAUGCCCACCCACUCCGCACAUGGACCUGGGCAUUUCCUUACUGGAUUACGCCGAACAGCUCAAAUGCUAAUCAGUCCCGAAAACAUCCCACAAUUACAGCAGAUUAAAAUUCAAACACACAAGUUUUCCAAGGAUUUGUCUGCCCAUGAAACAG